UACGGGAGGGAGCUAGCGUUGUUCGGAAUUACUGGGCGUAAAGCGCGCGUAGGCGGCUCAUCAAGUCAGGGGUGAAAGCCCGGGGCUCAACCCUGGAACUGCCUUUGAAACUAGUGAGCUAGAAUCUUGGAGAGGCGAGUGGAAUUCCGAGUGUAGAGGUGAAAUUCGUAGAUAUUCGGAAGAACACCAGUGGCGAAGGCGACUCGCUGGACAAGUAUUGACGCUGAGGUGCGAAAGCGUGGGGAGCAAACAGG
RNAcentral lists this ribosomal RNA (254 nucleotides) under uncultured bacterium. RNAcentral describes it as "partial 16S ribosomal RNA". It matches the Rfam family "Bacterial small subunit ribosomal RNA", at positions 524 to 776 of the family's 1533-position model. The record is from RNAcentral.